UGCCGGAUCGUCUAAUGGUAGGACACCGCCCUUUGGAGGCGAUUAUCUAGGUUCGAAUCCUAGUCCGGCAA
RNAcentral lists this transfer RNA (71 nucleotides) under Candidatus Pacearchaeota archaeon. RNAcentral's name for it is "tRNA-Gln". It matches the Rfam family "tRNA". From Rfam's summary of the family: Transfer RNA (tRNA) molecules are approximately 80 nucleotides in length. Their secondary structure includes four short double-helical elements and three loops (D, anti-codon, and T loops). Lineage: Archaea; Nanobdellati. The record is from RNAcentral. RNAcentral also lists the same sequence under 1 other name.